Molecule: long non-coding RNA, 3222 nt
Organism: Herpailurus yagouaroundi (jaguarundi)
Lineage: Eukaryota; Metazoa; Chordata; Mammalia; Carnivora; Felidae
Exons: 2
Source: RefSeq, a predicted model, not a curated record
AGGAGCAGAGAGAGAAGGAGAGAGAGAAUCACCGACUGUGAGACCAUGAUGUAAGCCAAAACCAAGAGUCGGACGCCUAACCGACUGAGCCAGCCCAGUGCCCCACGUCUCCAUUCUAUAUGGGGCUCGAACGCCCUGCAGAAGGGUUCGGUCCUAAGAAACAAAAUGGCCCAAUGAUAUCAUUGUUGAAUGGUGAACAUAUUUGUGUGGAAAAUUUUGCUGCCACUGGAAAAGUUUAUUUUCAUCUUACACCAGUUUAGAAGUUGUCGGGAGAUAGUAAUAAACCAGAUGCCAUCUUCAAAUAAUCUUUUCCCCUGUUUGAUGACUCCCAGAGUUCUUUCAAAGUAACUUUUUGGGGGUUUGGGGUGGAGAAUGGUGGUCAGAAACUUGAAGUUUUCACUGAUAGCCAGUUGUAGUUUUAUUCCUCAAAAGAGCACUUCAGUCUUAUCUUUAUCCUUGUUGCUUUGUCGCCAAUAGAGAUUCAAUUCAGUUUCCGUAUUACUCUCAAAGAUAUUCCAUUUAUAUCCUGCUUGCAAGAAAAUGUUUUCACUGGGGUAAGAGUCUUCCCAUAGAAAUUGUCCUGCUCCAACGUCUUCUAAAGGAAUGUAGCUUUGUUCUAUUUGAAAAUUAAUGCAGCAUGGAAUUCUCUGAGUACCUCUUAGGAAAAUGCAGGAUGUCAAUCGCAGAUUAUUUAAGUAUUUCCCAAAAAGGUUUUACCAACAAAAGUAUCUAUAGGUCAGUAAUCAAGACUGGAGCCCUUACUGACAGAGUAUUAGUUAUUGAUGCUAUCCUUAUGCAUUCAUGCAAAAACCAUUCUUUGAGCACAGGUUAUCUGCAGGGGGUUUCGCUAGGCAUGAAGGAUAAGUGACAGAUGUUUAUUAUCCCCGUCCUUGGGAUGCUUAUGGUCUAAUGGGAGCUGCGAUAAACAAAUGAAUAAAUGAUUGCAAAUGGUGAUUUGUGCAUGAAAGAAAAUAAGGGCUACGGCAGAGAAUAGGGUGACCAGCGAAGGUCUUUCUGAGGCGGUGACAUUUUGACUGAGUCACAACUCAAAGACAACACCGGGCAAUAGAGGAAAGUGAUCUAGGCAGAGGGAAAAGUGGGUGCCAAGGCCCCGGGGCAGAAAAGAGUUUUGUGUAUUCCAAGAACUUAGGGAUGGCCUUUGUGCCUGGGACAAAGUGAGAGACAGGAGACAAACACGGAUGAGGUCAUAAAGUCAAGAGGGGCUAGAAGAGGCAGUACCUGGGGGACUGGGAGAAGACAUUGACCUUUAUCUAUAGGGCAAUGCAACAUCAUUGAAAGAUUUUAAGUAGCGAAGCAGCUUAAAUAAUUUGCCUUUCAAAGAACACUCUGUGGAAAAUUUCUGUUGUGAGAAGAAGAGAGAAAGCAAGAGAGAAAGUAGUGGGACCAGUUAGGAGACCGCUUGGUCAACCACAGGAAACAUGACGGUAGCUUUGACCCAGAUGGUUGUGGUGGAGGCCGCAGGGAGACAGGCUCAUACCAGAUGUAUCUGAAGGAAAGCAAAUAGAACUUACUAUUGGGUUAGAUAGAGGAGAACAGGAAUGCAAGGGGCCAAGGAUGGUCCCCAGUAACCCGGGCACAUUGCUAAUCAGGUGCGUGACGGCGGAGGAGUAGGAGAGGGCCAGAAGAGACUGACAGACGGGCUGGUGCAAUAGGACAAACAAGGACAGUGGAGUGUCUUCCAUGACGAGGCAACGGAGCUUCAAGAUGGAAAAGGUGGUCAAGUGUGUCUGACAAAGCGACGUAAAGACCCAAGAGCCUAUUAGACUGGCCAAUAUGGAGGUUGUCGGUAACCUGGCCACACGGUUUCAGAACAAAGAGGCUGGUGAGGAAGCAGGUAGAGCGUGUGUAAGCGUCUCUUUUGAAAGCUUGUCCUUUUUGCCAGGCAGGGGAGCCCAGGACGGAGCUCGGGACCACUGGGCAAGAGGACAGUCAUUUCUCUCAGUUAACCACCCUCAACCCUUUAGCCCAGACACCUUUCCCAGAGAGUAAGAGACUCCUUCCCCACCUCUUUACCUUCAUCCCCAUCAUCCUCAUAAUUACCCUGGCGAGGGCAGGCGUGUCAAAGAACCAUUUGCUUUUGACCUCUUAGGUGGACGUCUGCCCAGUUUUUGGCUCCGGGACCCUUCUCCCCUCCUGUCAAUGAGCCCCAGGCCUCCCUCCACACCAUUCUCACGUCGGCCAGCUCAAGGUGAGCUUCUGACUCAUACACACUUUCCUCUUAAAUUUUCUCGGCUUUCUCACUUAGCCAACGAUGAGGUAGGACAUGAAAAUGUCUAAGAAAUGUCGGAGGGCAGGAAAUUAAGGAGGACUUGUAAGGACGCAGUUGUUCUCACGUUUUUGUUUUUCAAAUUGCAUUUUGUUAAACUAACCACGCUAGGGGAAAUUGCCAAUGGAGGAAUAUUGAUUUUUCAAAGCGACACACGCUUUAGGAGGAUUUGACAUGGCUUUUACUGAAAUUGCAGAAUGGCUUUACUCUGUACGUGCCCUCUGUGAUGGCCUACGGGGAAGGAUGUGUGAUAUGUGUAAGAAAAGGAGUAGAAGGAAUUUCAUUAAGGGUAGGAUGCUAGAACGUGAAGGUUCCAGCUCUUAUGUAAUUGAGGAAGGGUAGAAGUUGCAUUUCAGGGAAUAAAGGAAAUCAGAUGCCACAAAUUUAACUGAUUCUCAUCACCAGCCAGUUAAACUCUCUUUUGCAGAUCAGACAUCUUUCCUCUAUUUGCAGCAAAGCUUCAAAGCUGCAGGCUGGGCAUCAGGCCAUCAGAGUCACUCAGACCACAAUGAUGACAUUUCCCGGAGUCCAGCAUCCAGCCGUCCUCCCUCUCUCCCCUCAUCGUCCUCUGUCCUGUCACCAAAACAGAAAAAGAUGGGAAAGGAGAAUAUUGUUUCCUUCCUGCCUCAAAGCUCCCUGGGCCUCCUAAGAAUACAAUAUAACCCCCAACUUUCCCCAAAUCUCCACAUCCUAACAUUUCCAGGAAGUUAUAAGCCAUGGGAGUCCGGGCAGACCCAGAAGAACAUGUGUCUUUUUCUCUAAAAGCCCUUGUGGAAAGUCCCCACUAUUCUGUGGGGGAGAAACAGUGUCUGCUUUGUUCAUUCUGUUUCUAACGCCUAGUACAGUGCCCGGUCCAGGAUCAACAAUAGUGUUUCUUUAAUGAAUAAACAGGCGAAGGAGUGAAGCUUUCCAAGUGGAUACAUUCAAAUGCUAAA